UACAGAGGGGGCAAGCGUUGUUCGGAAUUACUGGGCGUAAAGGGCGCGUAGGCGGCCAACUCAGUCGGACGUGAAAUCCCCUGGCUCAACCAGGGAACUGCGUCCGAUACUGGCUGGCUUGAAUCCGGGAGAGGGAUGUGGAAUUCCAGGUGUAGCGGUGAAAUGCGUAGAUAUCUGGAGGAACACCCGUGGCGAAGGCGGCUCUCUGGGACGGUACUGACGCUGAGACGCGAAAGCGUGGGGAGCGAACAGG
Molecule: ribosomal RNA, 253 nt
Filed under: uncultured bacterium
Lineage: Bacteria
Description: partial 16S ribosomal RNA
Rfam family: Bacterial small subunit ribosomal RNA
Source: RNAcentral